AAACCUGAAAUACGUCACAACCACAAGGUAAAGUCCAUCCAAUAGCGGGGUAAACCAAUCCGAUAAGAACUCUGGUAAGUUCAUCCAAACUUUCUCUACUUCAAGCGCCAAGGAUCCUCAUCUAAUGUUUCCUUUAACGAACAAGCCCCAUGACUCGAAUAAUUUACAGAGGCCCAACCUUAUCGGCCCAUCAUCUAGUAGAGGCUCCAUCCUAAAUGAUAUAAUUGGCAUUCCCCCAUUAAUUUUGGACUGACCUAAAACGUUAUCGAUAAUGGACCCGAGGCCCACCCCAUUAUCCCCAAGCCUCAUGUGGGUCCAAACACCACCACGGUGAAGCCCAAUUCUGAGUCCCGGGGAAAAUUAGGCCCAACAACCAUAUCUCGCCCUCUAUUUUUACUCCUCAAAUCUCGAUACCAAUUUUAGUACUCUUCAUCCCAUUCAGGCUGAGAUUUAUCCUACAGCUCAAAGCAAUAAGGAAUCUGUAACACCCCAACUUAGGAAGGAGUCUCACAUCGGCAAAACACGGGAGGGAUGCUGGGUAUAUAAAUGAGAAAGCAUUACUCCCUAGUGACGUAUUUUAAAGCCGUGCGGGCCUAGGAUCAGAGCAGAUAAUAUCACUAGUGGGUUGGUCAGAGACAGGGGUAUCUCAGGCCUGUGUGGUUUGGGAUGCCUAUCGCGGCCAGGUCCUCUGGCCGGGUUGUGACAGAAUGGUAUCAAAGCCACUCUUGUGUCAUCCCUGUCAAUGUGGGCCAGGGUUUAAACUGAGUGUAGGCAAAUCCCGGUAAGGCGGGACAAACCUCAGUCCUGAGUCUAGGCAAAUCCCAUUAGGUGGGGUAAACCUCAGCGAGGACGCUGAGUUCGUAAGGGGGGUGUUUAUAACACCCCAACUUAGAAAGGAGUCCCACAUCAGUAAAGGAGAGAACCCUGAACCCUAAACCCUGAUGAACCCUGAACCCUAAACCCUAAUGAACCUUGAACCCUGAACCCUGAUGAACCCUAAACCCUGAGGCCUAGGCGCAGAGUGGACAAUAUCACUAGUGGGUUGGACAGAGACAGGGGUAUCUUGGGUCUGUGUGGUUUGGGAUGCCCGUUGCAGCCAGGGCCUCGGGCUGGGUCGUGACAGAAUCUUUCCUUAUUUCUCUAAAUAAAAAAGGUAAAGAGUUUCUUAAGGAACUUCUAUCCCAGAUAUUAAAAUCCUCAGGAACUCAAAUAUCUGGGCCCUUUCCAAAAGGAAUGACGGCUCCUUUCACUGAGAGUCCCGCAGUUGACUUGAUGGAUGUUGUCCAUCAAUCAUUAAAUGAUGAUGGUCCUAAUAAUGCCAAAACUCUUGGCUUCCCACAUAAGGCAGGAGUUUCUACUCAAAAUGUCCUUGCUCACUCAAACUCUCUUUAUUUUGAUAACUCAUGCAAUGGCCUUCACUCUCCCGAGCUCAAAGAUACCAUUAACUUUUCUCUCAGAACCCCCAUCACUAAAUCACCAACCAACAUCUUAGUUGGAAUUGAGCUUCACAUUGCUGACAGUGCUACUAACGUUGGAAAUAGAUGGAAGAAAAAUCAUAAUCCUCAUCUAUAAUCCAAUUUACCUAGCACAGGUGAUAAGGGAAGCACUGAACCAGGGCCUCUUCAACUUUGGCCAACAUAUCUGGCUAUCUACAAUCUCCCAGAUAAUGUUGAAGAUGAGCUAAGACAAAAUAAUGUUGGAGAGCAUAGUAGAGGCUCUGAACUCCAUGAGCAUGGCCAUCCCCUCCCCUCCUCUGAAUCAGGAACUAUUUCUCCAAGGCCCAACUUUUGCAGUAGACUCUGGGGCCCCCCACCAUUAAGAUCUCCUCCCCAAAACCACCUUUCACAUCGUGCAAUAGAACUACAUGAAAGGAAACUGACUCUAGAAAUGUUGAGAAACUAAAACAAGGAAAUAAAGGACCUUUUAGCUAUCCUAAGAGUUCUAAAAAUAGAAGCAACUAUUCUAGAAAGGUCACUCACUCUAGAGUUCACCGAUCUAAUCCACGAAAUGGUCAUUAUCCUACUUUCAUGAGACUUAGAAAAACUAGAAGUAGUCAUCAGGCCACCAAACCCUAUGAAAGAGAACCAUUUUUAGAUAAAGAUGAGGCUCCUAUCCAAGAAAAGAAAGGAGCCAGAGGGCGCGCCCAUCGACAAAACCCAUACAGGGGAAGGGGAAGAAAGUUAUGACUCAUAAUUCCAAAACUCUAAAAUCAAUGCUAAUGAAUUGUAUAAUAUGGAAUAUGAGCAGAGUCAACAAUACUAAGUUUCAAAGACAUUGCAAGUCCAUGAUCAGCACACAUAAGCCUAUUAUGUUGGUCCUUCUAGAAACCAAGAUGGCUGGCCACUUUACUCUAACUGAUGAGUUGGGGUUCCAAUAUUACAUCCAAUCAAGUGCAAUCAGAGCCUCAGGAGGGAUUGUUAUUAUGUGUAAAGAUGAAUCCCUCAAUAUCAGUGACAUUACCAUCAAUAACCAAGUUAUCCAUGUCUCUAUAAAGGUUAGUAGCCCCCUUUCGAAUUGAUUCUUUACUGUCAUCUGUGCUAGCAAUAGUUUAGAAGAUAAGAAACUCAUUUGAGACUUUCUUAUUAACUUAGCCCCUACAAUCCAUAACUCUUCCACGAAAGGAUGGCUUGUUGGGGGAGACUUUAAUGAAAUCCUCAGGGCCUUUGAAAAAUUUGGAGGCAAUAACAUCAAUAAUAAUAGAGCCUUCCUCUUCUGAAACUGUAUUAACCAGUGUAGCAUAUAAUCUUUGAUUUAAAGGGAGUAAAUACACCUGGUCUAAUAUGAGAUAUAGAAAUAGACAUGGACUUAUUCUAGAAAGGUCGGAUAGGUAUCAUGCCAACUCCCAUUAGGUACACUAAUACCCUGAAGCCACUGUGACUCAUCUACCUAGGACUCACUCUGACCACUCCUAUAUCCUUCUUAGUCUAGAAAAGUCACCCUCUUACACUCUCAAACCUUUCAGAUUGAAACUAUAUGGUGCUCUCAUUUUGGUUUUAAAGAAGUCAUCCACAACAUCUUCCAUAAUAGCCUUGACCUCACUAGUGCCAUCUCUGACUUUGAAGAGGCUAUCACUAUUUGGAAUAGAGAUAUACUUAGGAAUAUCUUCCAUAUGAAGAAACAUAUCUUGGCUAGACUAGUUGGGAUUUAGAGUUCCCCUCAUUACCUUACCCGUAGUUUUCUUCAGAACUUAGAGCUCUCCCUAAAUCAACAGUUCUCAGACAUUCUCAGACAUGAAUGUGAAUUUUGGAAAUUGAAAUCCAGAAUUAAUUGGUUGAUGGAGGGGGACUCCAACACUAAGUUCUUUCACACAGUCACCCUUAACAGAAGGAGUUGAAAUAAAAUCAAUGGUCUCUAUUAGAGCUGUCAAUACGGGUUGGCCCAGCCCAUACGGGCUUUAAGUUUGAUGGGUUAGGCCGGGCUGGCCCAUUUAAAUAAAGGACCAAAAAACGCUAAGCCCACGCUAUUACCCUGUGGGCUGCAGGCCUUACAGGCCUGCCCGUUUUUUAAAAAAUAAUAUUUUAUUAUUUAGUUUUACACUGUUAAUAAACAUAAAUAGUUAUCACACAAUAACACAUAGUAUUAAUGUUUGUUAAUCAAAAGGGAGCCAAAGCUCGAAUCACCCAAAGUAGGAAGAAAACGAAAAUGUGAUACUACUCAAUGGGAAACAUCACGGCUGAAAGUCGAUGCGCAUUGAGGGAGAUAUAGUGAAGAGGAGGAGGCUAGUUGAACUAAAGAAAUUAGGAAAAUGAAGAGUACAAUGUACUCUUUAUAUCUUAGUGGUAGAUAUUUAAUUAUUUUAUUAUUUAUUAGAUAGGAAAGUAGGAAACUUUCCAGUUUCCAUUUUCUUUAUUAAUGGAACCGGUCAAUGGUCAUCAUUGGACUUGAUUGUUUUUUAACUCUUUUAUUAUUUUUCAGUAUUUUAUUUUAUUUUAAAAUUAUUUAUUAUUUGACUGACGGGCCGGCCCACGGGCUAGCCCAACCCAUAUUCCUCAAGCCCUACGGGCCAUGGGCUUAUCCGGGCCGGGCUAAAAAACCCUGUUCUUGAAUGAGCUGCAAAAAUUGAAGCCCACCCCAUCAAAUUACAGGCCGAGCCAAGCUGGCCCACCGGGCCUUGGCCUAUAUUGACGGUUCUAGUCUCUAUGAUGACCUGGGGAACUGGUUCUAUAAUCACAAGGUAUUACAAACCAUAUUAAGGCUUCUUACCACUCCCUCUUCAGCACUGAUCAUCAGUGUUCCAAGAGACUUUGCCAAAAAAGCCUUACUCAAAAGGGUACCAUUGACUCUAGACACUAUGAUUUCUUGGAUGUUAUAGCAUCCAUUGCUGAGAUCAAGAAGGUUGUCUUCUCCUUUAAACCUACUAAAGCCUCGGGACCUGAUAGUCUUCACCGUCUCAAAUUUUAAAAAUAUUAGGAUUCCAUAAGCCAUCCUCCUAAAAUUUUAUACUAAAACCGUCACAACCUAUAAGAUAGAGGAGACUGCAAACUCUACUUACCUCUGUCUUAUUUCAAAAUGCAACAAUGCCACCUCUCUGAGAAACUUUAGACCCAUUGGGUUAUGUAAUACCCAAUAUAAGAUCAUCACCAAGAUCAUUGCUAAUUGCAUCAAACACUUUCUCCCCCCAUCAUCAGUGUUGCCCAAGCUAGUUUCUUCUUCAAGAGAAAAGUCUCUGACAAUGCCAUCAUUGUCCAGGAGUUCAUCUCUACCUUCUGCAAAAUGAAAGGAAAGAAAGCUAAAAUGAUCCUAAAAAUUAAUUUGGAGAAGGCUUUAAUAGACUUGAAUGAUCUUUUAUAAGACAAGCCCUCCAUUACUUUAACUUUCCUAAGGGCCUGACAAAGCUAAUCAUGUAUUGUAUUUCCUCUUCUAGGAUUUCCAUCCUAGUUAAUAGAAGAAAGACUGACUUCUUCAGCCGUUCUAGAGGUAUUAGACAGGGAGACCCCAUGCCCCCUAUAUCUUUAUCCUUUAUGAAACUUCUCUCAAGGAGAAUUGAGUAUGAAGUUGACUUCCUGAAAUAGAAUCUCAUUUCAAUCAGUAAUAGAGGUCCCAAAAUCUCCCACCUCUUUUUUGCUAAUGACCUCCUCCUCUUUGCUAAAGCUAAUGUUGCCAAUAACACUACCAUCAUGGAUACCCUUACUAGUUUUAGCUGUCAUUCUGGCCAGAAAGUCAACAUCAGAAAAUCCAAGGUCUUCUUCCCCAAGAAUGCCAAGAAUGAUCUUAAACGUAACAUUCUAAACAUUCUUUAAAUCCCCCCUUACAACUGUUUUGGGAGAUGUUUAGUCUUCUUAUAUUUCAUAAAAAAAACUCAAAAUGGAAACUUUUAUUUCAUUAUUAAUAACCUCAAUAAUAGGGUAGCAGGCUGGAAGACCAACUUCCUUAAUAUUACUAGCAGAAUCACUCUUGCCAAAGCUUGCCUUAGUAGUAUCCCUAACCACAUCAUGUAGUACAUCCAUCUCUCCUUCAAGAUCCACAAGCCCAUUAACAGAGCUUAAUGAAACUUCAUAUGGGGGAUUACCAGUACUAGAAAAAAUGCACAGGGUUGGAUGGUAAACCAUAACUAAGCCAAAAAUGAAGCAGUUCUAGGUCUCCAGAAGGCUAGCAUAAAAAUGAUGCUGCCCUCCGCAGCUUAGCCUGGAGGCUCAAAACCAACCCUACCUCCUUGUGGGCCAGCAUUAUCACCAGUAAAUAUAACUAGGAAAAUGUAAGGCUUGAAAGCAAUUACUCUAGAACGUGGGAAAAUAUUUAUAAAGCCUGGAACCUCUGUAGGGAUGCCUCCCAGUAGAUUAUCCACUCUAGGAAAAAGUUGACCUGUGUUGAGAUAGAUGGCUGCCCAAUCAUCCCUCUUUGGGCGGCCUCAUUCAAGGUCCCAUUCCCCUCAAUGACAGUGACAGGAAACUGAACAUUAAUUGGAAUAAGAGGGUUGGAAUUUUACUUCUCUUUCUUUCAACAUCCUUGAUCAAGUCACACAAGCUAUUGGAGAUACUUUCUUCCAUAUUAGGAAUCCUAAGAAGGAUACCCUCAUCUAGAGACUUAACUCUAAUGGUCUCUUUACUUGUAUGAAUGCCUAUGUUUUUCUUUUUCUAAUGCCAAUUGAGUGGUCAAUUUUGGAUUGACCUUAUCCAGAAAUUAAAUGAGUCUUCCAUUAACCCCACUCACUUCUCCCUUUAAAACCAGCCUACUACUUAGACAUAGCUAAAUAAAAAAAAUUGACAGUUUUGUCUUUUGGAGUACACUCCUUCCAUUUUGUCUUUGAAUUAUCUGAAAAAAUAAGAACAGCAAUAGCUUCAACAAUGGUAAUGACCUUCCCUCAUUUGUACAAGAUUACUCUAAAGUUGUAGAGUCCUCCCAACUUUUACAUGAGUCCAACAACAACACCCCUAACACUAUCUCCCUUCAAUGGGAAACUCCCAGAUAGGAUUCUAUAAACUUAACACAGAUGGAUCCUGUUUGGGGAACCCGGGGAAAGAAGGGAUAGGAGGAAUCUUUACAGACCAUUCAGGAAACUGGACCCUUGGUUUUAGUAAAAUAUAUAAUACAACAACCAAUAACUAGAUGAAGCUACUUGCUCUUGGAAAAGGUCUCAACUUAGCUCUUCAGAAAAACCUCAAACCUCUGGAAAUCAACAUAGAUUCCAAUGAGGUAAUAAGCAUGCUCCAUAAUGGUAAUCCCCAUUAUAAUCCUCUACUUGAUGAUUGCAGGUUGAUGCUAAAAGAACUAAGAGGAGCAGUCGUUAAACAAUGCUACAGAAAGCAGAAUGAAGUUGUUGAUGUUUUGGCAAAGAAAGUUGUUGUAAUAGAAGCUCUCAGAAGCCUUAACCUUUUUGUAGUCCCACCUGUGUAUGCAUUGGACCAAGUAUGGGC
RNAcentral lists this long non-coding RNA (6854 nucleotides) under Capsicum annuum. RNAcentral describes it as "long non-coding RNA (CANN_LNC016931)". The record is from RNAcentral. Lineage: Eukaryota; Viridiplantae; Streptophyta; Magnoliopsida; Solanales; Solanaceae.